This 196-nucleotide ribosomal RNA is filed under the name uncultured bacterium. RNAcentral's name for it is "partial 16S ribosomal RNA". It matches the Rfam family "Bacterial small subunit ribosomal RNA", at positions 337 to 525 of the family's 1533-position model. The record is from RNAcentral.
UCCUACGGGAGGCAGCAGUGGGGAAUAUUGGACAAUGGGCGCAAGCCUGAUCCAGCCAUACCGCGUGGGUGAAGAAGGCCUUCGGGUUGUAAAGCCCUUUUGUUGGGAAAGAAAAGCAGUCGACUAAUACUCGGUUGUUCUGACGGUACCCAAAGAAUAAGCACCGGCUAACUUCGUGCCAGCAGCCGCGGUAAUA